GGCGACGGGUGAGUAACACGUGGCUAACCUGCCCAGUGGAGGGGGAUAACCCGGGGAAACCCGGGCUAAUACCGCGUAUGGCCUACGGGUCAAAGUCUUCGGACGCCACUGGAUGGGGCCGCGGCCCAUUAUUUAAUCCUGGUUGGUGAGGUAACGGCUCACCAAGGGUACGAUGGGUAGCAGGUCUGAGAGGACGAUCAGCCACACUGGGACUGAGACACGGCCCAGACUCCUACGGGAGGCAGCAGUGGGGAAUAUUGCGCAAUGGGCGAAAGCCUGACGCAGCCACGCCGCGUGAGUGAUGAAGGCCCUCGGGUUGUAAAGCUCUGUCGGGAGGGAAGAAGAUCUGACGGUACCUCCCAAGAAAGCACCGGCUAACUCCGUGCCAGCAGCCGCGGUAAUACGGAGGGUGCAAGCGUUGCUCGGAAUCACUGGGCGUAAAGCGGACGCAGGCGGAUCAGAAGGUCAGGCGUGAAAGCCCGGGGCUCAACCCCGGAAUUGCGCUUGAAACCGUUGGCUGGGAAUACGGGAGAGGGAAGCGGAAUUCCUGGUGUAGAGGUGAAAUUCGUAGAUAUCAGGAGGAACACCGGUGGCGAAAGCGGCUUCCUGGCCCGAUAUUGACGCUCAUGUCCGAAAGCGUGGGUAGCAAACAGGAUUAGAUACCCUGGUAGUCCACGCCGUAAACGAUGAGUGCUAGCUGGUGGAUUCGUCUACGAUUUACCGGCGCAGCUAACGCAUUAAGCACUCCGCCU
This 752-nucleotide ribosomal RNA is filed under the name uncultured bacterium. Its description in RNAcentral is "bacterial SSU rRNA". It matches the Rfam family "Bacterial small subunit ribosomal RNA", at positions 97 to 874 of the family's 1533-position model. The record is from RNAcentral.